GAUGAACGCUGGCGGCGUGCCUAAUACAUGCCAGUCGAGCGAACGGACGAGAAGCUUGCUUCUCUGAUGUUAGCGGCGGACGGGUGAGUAACACGUGGAUAACCUACCUAUAAGACUGGGAUAACUUCGGGAAACCGGAGCUAAUACCGGAUAAUAUUUUGAACCGCAUGGUUCAAAAGUGAAAGACGGUCUUGCUGUCACUUAUAGAUGGAUCCGCGCUGCAUUAGCUAGUUGGUAAGGUAACGGCUUACCAAGGCAACGAUGCAUAGCCGACCAGAGAGGGUGAUCGGCCACACUGGAACUGAGACACGGUCCAGACUCCUACGGGAGGCAGCAGUAGGGAAUCUUCCGCAAUGGGCGAAAGCCUGACGGAGCAACGCCGCGUGAGUGAUGAAGGUCUUCGGAUCGUAAAACUCUGUUAUUAGGGAAGAACAUAUGUGUAAGUAACUGUGCACAUCUUGACGGUACCUAAUCAGAAAGCCACGGCUAACUACGUG
This 497-nucleotide ribosomal RNA is filed under the name uncultured bacterium. Its description in RNAcentral is "partial 16S ribosomal RNA". It matches the Rfam family "Bacterial small subunit ribosomal RNA", at positions 28 to 507 of the family's 1533-position model. The record is from RNAcentral.